Molecule: small RNA, 893 nt
Filed under: Pongo abelii (Sumatran orangutan)
Lineage: Eukaryota; Metazoa; Chordata; Mammalia; Primates; Hominidae
Description: retained intron
Source: RNAcentral
GGCUGGGGCUAGGGCUGGGGGAGGGGGAAGGCCUGGGCGGGAGCCUCUGAGCUCUUUCCUUCUGUGACCACGGACCUGUCAGUUUCCAAACAGAAGGUGUGCCUCACUUGUGUGGAUUUUGUCACUGUGCAUGUAUGUAUGGGUUUCUGGGGCAUUGGUCCUGGUGCUCUCUCCACAUCCUGCAUCCCGUACCCCCUGUCUCAUGGCCCAGGCAGUGUGAAGGCGGAGAUGCUGCACAUGUACAGCCAGAAGGACCCGCUCAUCCUCUGCGUGCGCCUGGCCGUGCUGCUUGCGGUGACCCUCACUGUGCCAGUCGUGCUGUUCCCUAUCCGCCGGGCCCUGCAGCAGCUGCUUUUCCCAGGCAAGGCCUUCAGCUGGCCACGACAUGUGGCCAUAGCUCUGAUCCUGCUUGUUUUGGUCAAUGUCCUUGUCAUCUGUGUGCCAACCAUCCGGGAUAUCUUUGGAGUUAUUGGGUCCACCUCAGCCCCCAGCCUCAUCUUCAUCCUCCCCAGCAUCUUCUACCUCCGCAUCGUACCCUCUGAGGUGGAGCCUUUCUUAUCCUGGCCCAAGAUCCAGGUAAGCAUUCCAGGGCAGAGCUAGGGAGAGAGGGAGCACUCCAGGGAGGGAGUGCUCACUCCAGGAUGGCUGGAGGUGAAAGGGACAUGCAUAGGAGGGGGCUGGGAGAGCAUCUGAAAGAAUGGUCUGGAAGAAUGAAGGUGAUUGUCUUAGGAAGGGGCAGAGGAGACAGAGCACCAGCAGGGUCCAGGAAGACAGGGAGCACUCAAACAGAGGCUGGCAUAGAGGGAGCAUUCUCCAGACAGAUGGAAGGAGCACUAUUGGGAAGAGAGUUGGAAGCACUUUGAAGAAGGAGGAUGGAGGAAUGUAUUCUCUCA